AUGGCUAUUCUGGGACAAUUUCUGAGCUUCAAAGGCUUGCAUUUUGGAUCAGUGCUGAGUUGUCUCUGUUUGGCAUUUGUGCUGGAAGCAGUCCCAGAAUUUCCAGGCUAUCUUAAGAAAGUCUUGAAGAACCAUACAGCGCAUGCAUGUGAAGGAGAGAAAUUGCGACUCACUUGCCCACAAAAGACAUCUAUCAGCAUCCUUUCUGCUUUUUAUGGUCAUAAAGUCCCUGAUGAAAACUUUUGUCCAACUCUAAUUGUGCCUGUAAAGCUGCUGCAAAAAAUUGACCAUAGCUCACUGGACCCAUUUACACUGUCUGAUUAUAUAUAUAUGGCAUCCCUGAGAAAAUGGGCCUGUAUUUCCUGUGUGGUGUCUCUGGAGGCCUUAUCUUUCUAUUACGCAUCUUUACUUCCAAAAUGA
RNAcentral lists this long non-coding RNA (420 nucleotides) under Bos indicus x Bos taurus (hybrid cattle). RNAcentral's name for it is "lncRNA (ENSBIXG00005000970.1)". Lineage: Eukaryota; Metazoa; Chordata; Mammalia; Artiodactyla; Bovidae. The record is from RNAcentral.